Molecule: ribosomal RNA, 956 nt
Filed under: marine metagenome
Description: bacterial SSU rRNA
Rfam family: Bacterial small subunit ribosomal RNA
Source: RNAcentral
AGAGUUUGAUCAUGGCUCAGAACGUACGCUGGCGGCACGCCUAACACAUGCAAGUCGAACGAAGUAGCAAUACUUAGUGGCAGACGGGUGAGUAGCAUGUGGGUAUCUACCCUUUGGCCUGGAAUAACACGAGGAAACUUGUGCUAAUACCGGAUAAGUCUUUACGGAGAAAGCUUUAUGCACCAUUGGAUGAGCCCGCACUUGAUUAGUUUGUUGGUAGGGUAAUGGCCUACCAAGACUAUGAUCAAUAGCUGAUUUGAGAGGAUGAUCAGCCACAUUGGGACUGAGACACGGCCCAAACUCCUACGGGAGGCAGCAGUGGGGAAUCUUGCACAAUGGAGGAAACUCUGAUGCAGCGAUGCCGCGUGAGUGAAGAAGGCCCUUGGGUUGUAAAGCUCUUUCGUCGGGGAAGAAAAUGACUGUACCCGAAUAAGAAGGUCCGGCUAACUUCGUGCCAGCAGCCGCGGUAAUACGAAGGGACCUAGCGUAGUUCGGAAUUACUGGGCUUAAAGAGUUCGUAGGUGGUUGAAAAAGUUAGUGGUGAAAUCCCAGAGCUUAACUCUGGAACUGCCAUUAAAACUUUUCAGCUAGAGUAUGAUAGAGGAAAGCAGAAUUUCUAGUGUAGAGGUGAAAUUCGUAGAUAUUAGAAAGAAUACCAAUUGCGAAGGCAGCUUUCUGGAUCAUUACUGACACUGAGGAACGAAAGCAUGGGUAGCGAAGAGGAUUAGAUACCCUCGUAGUCCAUGCCGUAAACGAUGUGUGUUAGACGUUGGAAAUUUAUUUUCAGUGUCGCAGGGAAACCGAUAAACACACCGCCUGGGGAGUACGACCGCAAGGUUAAAACUCAAAUGAAUUGACGGGGACCCGCACAAGUAGUGGAGCAUGUGGUUUAAUUCGAAGAUACGCGCAGAACCUUACCAACACUUGACAUGUUCGUCGCGACUCUAAGAGAUUAG